GAACGCUAGCGACAGGCCUAACACAUGCAAGUCGAGGGGCAGCGCGGAGUAGCAAUACUUGGCGGCGACCGGCGCACGGGUGAGUAACACGUAUGCAACCAACCCAGUAACAGGGGGAUAACCCGGAGAAAUCCGGACUAAUACCGCAUAAGACCACGAUAUCGCAUGAUAGUAGAGGUCAAAUAUUUAGUAGGUUAUGGACGGCAUGCGUCUGAUUAGCUGGUGGCGGGUAACGCCCACCAAGGCAUCGAUCAGUAGGGGUUCUGAGAGGAAGGUCCCCCACAUUGGAACUGGAGACACGGUCCAAACUCCUACGGGAGGCAGCAGUGAGGAAUAUUGGUCAAUGGGCGAAAGCCUGAACCAGCCAUGUCGCGUGAAGGGAAUGAAGGUCCUAUGGGUUGUAAACUUCUUUUGCAGGAGGGUAAAGUGAGCUACGUGUAGUUCAUUGCAAGUACCCUGCGAAUAAGCAUCGGCUAACUCCGUGCCAGCAGCAGC
This 495-nucleotide ribosomal RNA is filed under the name uncultured bacterium. RNAcentral describes it as "bacterial SSU rRNA". It matches the Rfam family "Bacterial small subunit ribosomal RNA", at positions 31 to 518 of the family's 1533-position model. The record is from RNAcentral.